RNAcentral lists this transfer-messenger RNA (359 nucleotides) under Kofleriaceae. RNAcentral describes it as "JABFXX01 sp016706545 Standard tmRNA". It matches the Rfam family "transfer-messenger RNA". Rfam says of the family: Bacterial tmRNA, also known as 10Sa RNA or SsrA, is named for its dual tRNA and mRNA-like properties. Its role is to liberate the mRNA from a stalled ribosome. Lineage: Bacteria; Pseudomonadati; Myxococcota; Haliangiales. RNAcentral also lists the same sequence under 1 other name. The record is from RNAcentral.
GGGGGCGAAAUGGUUUCGACGGGGAUGAAGAAGUCCGAGCUGCGUGUCGUGGCGCCCCAGGCCACGUAAAAAGGGGCAAUCCUGCAACUGCGAACGAUAACGCUGUUGCUCUCGCUGCCUGAUUAAACACCAGACAACGACAGCGCCUUGAGCUUCCGUCUGUAGCAAGAGAGCGCUGAACCCAAUCAGACUAGCCAGCGAGCAAGCCUACGGGCUCGCCAGCGAACCAAACGUAGACUCAUCUCGGUAGCAGCUUGCUGCUGCGCGGCUAUCGGGAAACAUCAAAUCAGCAGAUACACACGAAGACGCUCGUUCAGAGGCAUUUCCGGACCCGGGUUCGACUCCCGGCGCCUCCACCA